This is a long non-coding RNA of Gasterosteus aculeatus aculeatus (three-spined stickleback), 1723 nucleotides long. The record is from Ensembl. NCBI's taxonomy places the organism in Eukaryota, Metazoa, Chordata, Actinopteri, Perciformes, Gasterosteidae.
UCCUUCCUUUCUCCUCCUCCGUCUUCCAGCACUUCUCAGUGAAGUUACUGUAGUUUAGUUAGGAGCUGCUCCUCCUCCUCUUCCUCCUCCCCCUGCGUGUCCGCGUCCUCCUCCAUCUCCUGCUACCAUCAGCUCAUCUGUCAUUUUCAUUCUCUCCUUCCAGGAAGCUUUCCUAGAUAAGUCCCUUGUGUCUCCUUGUUCACCCUGAGGGAGUCACGUCCUCUUAUGUGUGGAGAUGUUUGUUAGCCUGUAAACACAGCAACCAUGACCAAAGGAACAGCAACACGGGACCAACCGGAGACCGGAGUCGGUCAUGAGUGACAUGUUAGUGUCGUUGGGUCCUUUCUUACUCAGACUCAUGAAGACUCAGAGGGAGAAGAAUGUGAGACUGCACCUCUGCUUCCUGGUCUGAACUCUGGGUCGUCAUGGAAACGUUCCGCUGAGAAACUGGGUCCGAGUCCUCCAUCCAAAGUGGGUGGAUGCCGUCACAUUGUUUACUGGACACCACCCCAACUUCUGCUUCCGCUGCAUGUAAGCAUACAACACAAAGCAUGUGGACACCUAAACAUGUGCCUGGGAGUACUACGAGCCUGAAGUACUACGAGCCUGAAGUACUACGAGCAUAAAGUACUACGAGCAUAAAAUACUACGAGCAUAAAGUACUACGAGCCUGAAGUACUACGAGCCUGAAGUACUACGAGCAUAAAGAACUAGGAGCCUGAAGUACCACUUAAAGCGUAACGCAGCAUUGAAGCAGCCCACUAGCUACACACGCUUGCGUGCUGGAGAACUGUGGAAAAAACCAACACAAGGAGAAAGAAGCGUCCUCAAGGCGGCGACAUGCUUCUGCAACGUUUGGACUCGUCUCACUUCCUGGUUGUAAAGUCCUGCGUGUGUUGCAGAGCGAUUCACCUCCAGAACAACAGGUGGAGUCACGUGUUUUGUAGAAGACGACCUGGAGAGUCACGUCUUUGUGUGUGGAAGUCGCUGGUUGCUUUAUUUAUGUAUCAUAGACUUUAUUGCCCCGUGCAUCCACACUGCUGCUUUCCAUCACGGACACAUUUGUCCUGUAUUUUCCUCCACGACUUUGUCCCCCUCGUUGGUGGAGAUCUGCCUCCAUGAAUCAGAGGCCGUCCGGCGUCCUCAUAGUCCGCCAAUGACGGCUUGUACAAGCGCUCAUAUUUAAAAGCUCUUCAAUCUGAUCCGUUCUCUCGUAAACAGGUGUGAAAAGACACGCAAGGGACAACAAUUAUUGAUUAGUUAUACAAGAUAAUAUGAUACAUUACAUACAUUAUGAUAUAAUUUGUAAUACAAUAAUAUAACAUUAUUUGAUAAUAAAAUCAAAUGUGAUCAAAUAUAACAUUAUCAUUUAAUAUACAUAUUAUAAUAUGAUGUAAUAUAUAUAAUCUAAGCUUAGUGUUUUUUUCAUAUGAAGAAUCUGCUGCAAUAGAAAGAGACGCACACACAGACACACUCAGCUGCUACAGAAAUACUCAUAUGUAUGUCAGCUGGCAUCCAUUCAUAAGUCCACACACACACAGACACACACACAGACACACACACAUGGCAGGCAGAGAUAAGAAACAUCUUGAGUAUCUGGAAGCUUCCACUCCCUCAGCACACCCUCUGUAACAGCCGAGUGUGUCUGUGUCUUCAUGAAAGUCUCUAAAACGCAGUUGGCGUUUAUAUAUGUUUGAAUGGGGGGGGGGCUGUAUGAGGGAGG